CCCCCCGCGGAAGUUUCCCGGUCCCCCCCAUCCCGGUGGCGGCCCCGUUCGGGCGGCGGAGGUGAGGGCCGGGGUCCCGCCCGCGCCGCCCCCGCGUCUGCGAAGUUGUGCGCGGCCGCACCGCGCCGCCGCUCCCCACCGGGGCCCCGUACGGCCCGGGGUCCCCGCGGCAGCCCCCUGCCCGCUCUCUGUUCCCCCGGCCCGGCUCUCUCUGUCCUCAGCUCCUCUCUCCCUCCUCGGCUUCCCCUCUCCAUCCUUACCCAGUUCUCCCGUUCCUCAUCCCUCCCCAGCUGCUCAGUGCAUCUUUGGCCCCUCAGCUCGUUCCCUCCCCUCCAGCUCCCAUGUCUUGCCUCCCCCUCCUUGCCUGUGGUGUUCCUCCCCUCCCCUGGCUCCCCUUUCUUUCCACCACGUAUUGGCUUUUGGAGCGGCACCUCCAGCCUGGUGGGGUGCUGCCAGCAGCCCCCAUGCCCUGCUGUGCCCUGCUCCAUCCCAGCCCAUAGCUCCCUUUGUUCUUCUCCGGGUUCCUUCCCCUGCCGAAGCCCCUUGACAGCUGCCCCACGCCCUCCUGGUCCCCCUGCCUGUGCUGUCACGGGGUUUACGGGGCCAGUGCCCGGCUCUUGGGGCUGCUCGCCUGCCGCACCUCUCUGCUUGCUGCAACUUCAUCCUUGCUCGCAGCUCAAAGGGUCCCGCUGGCCUCCCACGGGUGCAAAGGGAAUAAAAGGUCCAAGGGGUGCAAAAACAUGAGGGCCACACAUCUUUCACAAGCUGCCUUGCUGGGUGUCCAGGCUCAGAGGACCGUGGGCAUAGGGGGCUCAUUCUCCCUGGCAGACAAAGCACUGGCUUUACCUGGGCCAGCCAGGAGUGGGGACCAAGCUGGGGGUGAGCACAGCAUCCUUGGGAGUGGGGAAGCCUCAGCAGCUCCAGUUUAGGAGUCAGCACGCAUGCCAGAGCUGUGGACGGGUGUCUUAGCUUGGCAGGUGUUUUCCUGGAGCCCCUUUGGUAGAGCCUGCUGUGGUAGGCUGCCCUGAUCUCGGGUGUCUAGCCUAGUAGUCCUUGCCAGCCCUCCCACUAGGGAUGGGUGAUAAGCACUACUGGGGCUUCCUUGGCUUGGGCAGCCCCCAGUCCCAUCCCUGCAGCCUUAGCUGGCAGGCACCAUGGCAGGAACCUGCUGAGCAACUGCUGUCCCUAGCCAAAGCCAGUGCUGCAGCAGGAGCCAAAACCAGAGGUGUCAGCCACUCUCAGGGUGAGGUGUGAGCAAAGGCUUCCAAGGCUGUGGGGUCUAACAGGGAGUCACCUUCUGGGGCACACAGUAUGCACUUACCCACACUGCAAACUGUCACCUGCUUUCUUCUCACCAGGAGGGUCUGAGCCUGCUCGAGGCUGGGCCAGGCAGGUGUGGGAGCAAAUACCCUUUCCCAGGGUCUUCCCAGUUGUUCUCCACGUGCUUUCGAUAGUACCUUGUCUGAGCAGUUUUGCAGCGACUCCUCCAGUGCUGGUCAGGUAUCAGCUCUUACUGCUUCUGUUGCAAGUAUGGGUAAAUAUCAGUGUCCUUGUUCCUUUAAAGCCUUAGGUUUUGGAGUGUUCUCAUUGUGGGGGGAUUAUGGUUUGAACUGAAUAUGGUCUUUCUACUCAUGAUGCUGUAGAAAUCCCAGGUUUGUGAUCUAAGCACCCCUUGAAGACUGAGUAGGUGCUCAGUGCUGAGCAGAAUGACAUAAAGUUGUGUUGCCUCAAAGUGGAAAACUUGUGAUCCAAGGGGUACAGGCUGGUGCUGGCAGGUUUGGUGACACAAAGGUUUUGCUCUCGUUAGGUGACUUUUCUCCUCACCAGGAGCAGGUCACAAUCCAUGCAAAAUAGGAAAAGGGCAGUGAAAAGCCACAGGUUCAGUUGAAGCAAAGGUUCCCUAGGCUGGGGAGCUGGAGCCUCUUUCAGUUUCUUUUCAGAGAGCAGCGAUAGCUGGAGGUCCUGAGCUUGACCAGCUCUUCAGGAUGUAGGAGCAGAGGAUGAUAUGGACCAGUCCAGUCCCAGGACUCCAUUCCUGUUCCACAGCUGGCAGGGUGGCAGCAGUGCUUGGCCUAGAGUGGUCUCUCUCAGUGUGCCCUCUUUCAUGUGCUUGCAGCUCUGCACUGGUAUGAGCUUCACAUGUCCAUUAACGAUACAAACCUAAAGUCCUAUGUGGUGGCAGAGCAGGAUAGCACUUCUCCUGGCCCUCUCCCUUGGAAACCUCCCAUCCUCUGAGUGAUCUGGGGACAGAGUGCUCCUGCUCUUGUUUGCUGUGUGUGUGUGUUUGUGGGUUGUCAUGCUUGCCGCAAUGAGGUUUGCUGCCCCGUGGGUUGCUGUUGUGUCGGGUGGAGUUGUAACCAGGGAUGCUGGGGUAAGAGGGUUUCCCUGGGGCUGGGUUCCUCGUGCCUUCAGGAGCACUGGGCAGGUGUGCUUGACCAUACCGUGUCCUUUUGCUUCCUGGGGUUUUGGCCCCGUCCUGCACUGGAUGUCCAAAGGCCUGACACCAGUGGCAGCAUGUGCUGCCUGUUUAGAGGUGGGAGUCCUGCAACCACUGCAUUUGCUCUGUCGCCAGUGCUGCUGGCAGCCUGCUUGUCCCUUGUUCAGUAACUCCCAUGUUGCCUUUUAACCAAGUACUGAGAAGAGAGAAGUUCUGCCUGAGCAGGAGGGCAGAGGCUUGCCCUGGCAGCUCGAAGAAGCAAUGGAGGUGCUUUGUAAGCGGCACCGAGGAGGUUCCCGCCAUGCUCGCACUGUCCCUCCUCUCCAUGGGCAUCUGUGAGCGGUCCAGACCUUGUGGCAGGCGCUGCACACCAGGGUCAUGGUUUGCCCCUGGGCGCAUGCUGCCCCAGCGAGGCCAGCUGGAUCCUCGCCGCGGGAGUUAUCCAGCUUUUUUCCCCCCUCCGGAGCGGGCGUUUGGCCGGCUGCCAGGGCUGCGGGGCUCCACCUAGGAGGCAACAUGGAGCAAGGCGGCCGGCGGCGGCAGGGCCGCCGUCUCGGGAGACUACGCGUCCCAGCGUGCAGCUCUCGGCGCCUGGCAGCGGCAGGGAGCGAGGGGAGCAUUGCAUCCCGGGAUCGCGAAUCUCCAUGCGCCACGUGGGGGCUGACAGCCUCCUGUGCUCCGAGGCAGCAGUGCUGGGGGUCCUGGAGGAUCACUGUGGAUCCCCCUCUCUCAGUGUAAGCACAGACCUCAGCCUCUUGCUGUCACUUCCCUGAACUGUGGCUCUCAGCUCCUGCUCUCCUGGUCAAGUCUUGUCUCUGUGGAGGGCUGCCCUGAGCAACAAGCCCCACAAUACCAUGCAGAGCUGUGUAGUUUUGCUCCACCAUGUGCGUGGCAGACCAGCAGCUGUGAGCAGGGAUGUUGGCUUCAUGUUCUGCAGGGCCGUAGGCAUGGUUAGCUGUAACUGAAUUAUUCUGUGUUGCCGCAGAGCCUAGCGAACCUUUGAUGAUGAAAAUCCUAGUUUGUCAGGAGGCUUUUAUUCUAGGUAUGCUGACAGGGGUUUUUUUCCAUCCCCAUGGUUCCCACAUGACAUUGUUUGCCAGUGCUGUGCCGAUGUGUGCUGCAGGAGGGAUGUCAGCCUGGUCACUGCAGAGUGUCAGGACCCCAGGGUGAAGGGGUCUGGGAGAGAGGGAAAGUGUCUGAAAAUUUGAAAGGUGCGUUUCUGGGGCUGAAACCGACAGCGUUUGAUUAUGGAUCAUCUUUGAGACAGUGAACUGAAAGGAGUAAUUAGGGACAGUGGGAUAUUUCCCUGAGAGUUGCAGGAAAUGACUGCCUCGUGAUAAGUUGAUAGUAGUGGAGCUGAAACUGGGUUAUCUGUGGGAUUGCAUCUGGGGCUUGCAGCCGUGAACGUGAUUCAAUUUUCUGGCUGUUUUGCAAUUGUCAGGGUGUGCUUUUCUCCCUUUUUCCCUCCUGGAGAAUUCCCUGUCUACGUGUCUGAAUCAUCUGAGGAAGAAAAUUGGAAAGGGGAGACUCCUGUUGUCCCUAGGUACUGCAGGGCAGUGCAGUUCCCUGGGGCCCCACCUGAAUGUCCAGCUCCAGAGGAUGCCUUCCUGGGAGACUCUAGACCCUGGCGGAGUUGGGGCUGUGGGAGGCUGAGCCCUGACCUGCAAAUCCACAUCUCGGACAUGUUCUCUUCACCUGAUGCUUUCAGAUAGCACUGCUUUGCAGCCUACAUCAAGAUUGUCACUUUGUAAUAAUUAGCUGCAGGUAAUUAUCCCUUCUCUGGCUGUCCCCUUAAAUUUGUGACCUUGUGUGCAGAGAAGAGCACCUUUGGGUUCAGAUGCUUUGUGUGCUGCUGUGCCGGACUUUUGCACUAAUGUUGCAGGAUUUGACCUGGGGCUGAGACAUCAUGCACAUGGUGUGGUGUGGGCAGGGAGGCAGCUUGUGGUCCACAUAAGCUCUGUGGAUGGCUCAGAUGUGCAGCUUGGGAAAAGAGAGAGUAAUCCCUGCAUGCAGGUGGCGAUGGAGGUUUUGCCUUUGACAGGUCAGAGCCAGGCAGUGUCCUGGCUGAGGUCAGCCUCUGGAUGCCACUGAGUCCGUAGCACAUGGUCUCCUCCAAAAGUAGUAUCUCCUCUUCCUUGGAGAGCUCAGCCUCGUGGGAGCUUCAACUUCACCAGUUGUGCAUUUUUAAAGCAAUUGGGGUUUCUGCAAAUUGAUAUUUUCACUGAUAAUGUCUCAGGCUGUGUCUUGGUGGGUUCCCCCUAGGCUCCUGUGGGCUUAACAAUGGCAUUGGAGUUUGCAACUGGCCUCUUCCCAAUCCCCUCUAUUCCAAAGAAAAGGAGAAAGAAGAGGUGAUGGCAGGCUUGUGGUGGCAGACCAUGGUCUGCUCCAUGUGCCUCUGCCUGUCCCAGUCACUCUGAAUACUUCGUGUUUGCCUCCCAGCCCUGCCAACUUCCCGGACAUCAGGCACUGUCACUGGGCAAAACCCCAUGAAUUAUUUGAGACGCUGCCCUGCACCCAGUCCCAGAUACCACCCUCAUGCAAGCGGUACUGGCCUAGGAAGAUGUAUUUCUUCCCCUAUCAGGGCGCCCACACCCCAUCGAGGCAGCCCUGCGAAACAAUGCCGCUAUUUACCCUUUAAAGCCUCGCUAUUUACCCUUUAAAGCCUCGUUAGGCAGCCGGGAAGCACCGGCCCAGCUGCUUUUAGCAGAGGCUGGCCUCUCUUCUUCCCGGGCUGCUGGGAGGAGCAGGACGCUCCCUGGCUGAACUGUAACCCUGCAGCAUAUUUCAUGCUUCACUCCUUCAUUUUUUUUCAUAAUUUAUGUUUUUAGCCUCUGCCUUGUUGGUGAGCUUUGCUGCUUACACAGAGAGCACACUGGUUGCCCACACGGGGGUGGCUCCUGUCUGGUAGGGGGGGCACCAAUUACUGCCAGCAGUUACAGGUCUAGGAGGAACAAGAUGAUGCUGCUUUGCCUUUGUCCUCAGCAGUUCUUUGCUCUUUGAUGGUGAACUGAAGUUAUGGGAGUUCAGGCAGGACUUUUCUCCCUGGUUUCCAUGUCCCGUGCCCAGGCAGGCAGCUCCAAGGUGCUGAUUUCAGCUCACAGUACUGUGCUGUCUCCUGGCUGUGUUGGCUCUGUGAGGUGUCCACCAUGCUUUUGGUGCCUUGGGAAAUCUGAUGUUCCCCAACUCUGUGAGCUUGGCUAGGAUGUGACUCAUUCCUGCUCCAGCAAACCCACCAGACAGUAGACCAGAAUGGCUGAUAGUUCACAAGCAGGAACAGCAGAGGAGAAGGCAUGUGGAAGGUUGGGCAGUGCUGGGCUGUAUAUGAGUCAUGGGCAGAGCACCUGCCUUCUGUUCCCUGGGCGGUUGCCCACCUGUAGCUGUUUACUUGCCCAUGCUUUUCCAGCCGGUCUGUGGACCUGGCCUUGGCCGAGGAUGCUGAGCUGUGAGAUCCCUUCCCGGGGUUCCCUUCUCCUGCACCUCCACACUGAGGAGGAGCCAUGGAGCCUCCCACCUGGCCACGAGCACUGUGCUGUUUGCCCAGACCUGCCUGGGCCGGUAGCUCACCAGCUGCAGUGUCAGCCUGAUUUUUUCCCUUGCUGAAUGUUUUUGUGUCACUGGGCCAGCACCUGUGAGCGGCCACAGGAAGCAUCUCCUGUUCCCUCAUGUUCCACAGGGGCAUUGCAUGCACAGCCACCAGGCAGCAUCCCUGUUUGCACCAAGCCUGCCUGCAUCACCAUGCCUGCCCAGGUCCUGUGCUCACAGCAGGAGGCAGAGCAGGAGCAUGCCGAAACAGCAGCUAGGGCCAGGCGCUUGGGACAGGCCACAUUCUGCGUGUCUGUGUCACUGCACCUGGCUGGACAGGGCUUGCAGGCAGCUGGGGCAGUAUGAAGGAGAUAGGUGGUGAUGGAGGGAUGUCCUGGACCAGACAGCAUGGCCUGUGUAUCCUGGCACAGGUCACUCAGAGCUCGAAAAGCAGGGUGUCUCCAUAUUAACCUGUUGGGAAAAGCCCAGAGUGGAAAUGGAGGCUUGGGUAGAAGUGAUGGCCUGGCUUGUCUUCUGUCCCAUCUCCAGCAGCAAGGAGCUAGGGAAGAGCAUGAGAAGCACAAUGGAUGGAUGUCUCCCUGGUCUCACCACACCAGGACACCUUCCCUGCACUCUGAAAAACAAGAUGUGGACUGAGGAUAGCAAGAAGCCUUCGGAAUUUAGUCUUCCCAUGUCUCAUCAGUGAAUAAAAACAAAGAAUCGAAGGAUGAGACCUGCUGGAUCUGAUUUUUUUCUGCCCCUCAGGACAUGAUGACCAGAAACAAGCAGUGCAUCAGCCACUGCUGUCUCUGCCUAAUGAAUUGGUUUGUUUUCAACAGAAGUUUGGGAGUUUUGGGAAGUUUCCUAUGUGCUGAACACGCUUCAGUGUCAUGUUGUAUAACAACAUGGAAUGGAGGAAAUAGAAAUGCUGUGUUUCUAGUACAGUUUGGGGUGAAUUAUUGUCUGUUAGGCACAAAUUGAUGUGGAUAAAGCAGAAAGCAAAAACUCCUCUGCAGCAGCAACUGACCAGCACUGAACUCCCUAUUAAAAAUUGUUUUAUCUAUGAAAACA
Long non-coding RNA from Haemorhous mexicanus (house finch), 7030 nucleotides. RefSeq lists it as uncharacterized. NCBI's taxonomy places the organism in Eukaryota, Metazoa, Chordata, Aves, Passeriformes, Fringillidae. The transcript is spliced from 2 exons. The record is from RefSeq and is a predicted model, not a curated record.